UACGUAGGUGGCAAGCGUUGUCCGGAUUUACUGGGUGUAAAGGGCGUGUAGGCGGUAAGAUAAGUCAGAUGUGAAAUUCCAUGGCUCAACUGUGGCGCUGCAUCUGAAACUAUUUUUCUUGAGUGAUGGAGAGGAAAGCGGAAUUCCUAGUGUAGCGGUGAAAUGCGUAGAUAUUAGGAGGAACACCAGUGGCGAAGGCGGCUUUCUGGACAUUAACUGACGCUGAGGCGCGAAAGCGUGGGGAGCAAACAGG
This 253-nucleotide ribosomal RNA is filed under the name uncultured bacterium. RNAcentral's name for it is "partial 16S ribosomal RNA". It matches the Rfam family "Bacterial small subunit ribosomal RNA", at positions 524 to 776 of the family's 1533-position model. The record is from RNAcentral.